AUUGAACGCUGGCGGCAGGCCUAACACAUGCAAGUCGAGCGGAUGAAGGGAGCUUGCUCCUGGAUUCAGCGGCGGACGGGUGAGUAAUGCCUAGGAAUCUGCCUGGUAGUGGGGGAUAACGUCCGGAAACGGGCGCUAAUACCGCAUACGUCCUGAGGGAGAAAGUGGGGGAUCUUCGGACCUCACGCUAUCAGAUGAGCCUAGGUCGGAUUAGCUAGUUGGUGGGGUAAAGGCCUACCAAGGCGACGAUCCGUAACUGGUCUGAGAGGAUGAUCAGUCACACUGGAACUGAGACACGGUCCAGACUCCUACGGGAGGCAGCAGUGGGGAAUAUUGGACAAUGGGCGAAAGCCUGAUCCAGCCAUGCCGCGUGUGUGAAGAAGGUCUUCGGAUUGUAAAGCCCUUUAAGUUGGGAGGAAGGGCAGUAAGUUAAUACCUUGCUGUUUUGACGUUACCAAAAGAAUAAGCACCGGCUAACUUCGUG
This 484-nucleotide ribosomal RNA is filed under the name uncultured bacterium. RNAcentral describes it as "partial 16S ribosomal RNA". It matches the Rfam family "Bacterial small subunit ribosomal RNA", at positions 30 to 507 of the family's 1533-position model. The record is from RNAcentral.